Molecule: long non-coding RNA, 2453 nt
Filed under: Homo sapiens (human)
Lineage: Eukaryota; Metazoa; Chordata; Mammalia; Primates; Hominidae
Description: HSALNT0314673
Source: RNAcentral
UUGUUUUCUUUCUUCCUUCCUCUCCACCCAUUUAUUCCCCAUUUUUUCCAAAAAAUAUUUAAGCUUUACAUAGCAAGAUCUUUAAAAUAAGCAUGAGGAACCCUCCCAUUAAGCCAUGCUUUGCUCUGAAGGACUCUCUUCAUUUGGGUCCCCUAGAAGGCGAACCCUGAGACAAGGAUUUGAAUGCAAGUAGUAAUUUGGGAAGUAAUAGGAAAGUGGGGAAGUGAGACAGGAGGGGAAGGAAGCCAUGAAAGGGUAUAUCAUCAAGACAGUUAUCACUGAGGGCAGUUGGAGCUUAAUUCUGUCAAGAAACUCUGGGAGCUAGUGUAGAACAUUAACCUCAGAGUUCUCCUGCCCAAAGGGUGAGGAGUAAUGGGGCUGGGAUACUAAUCCACCAAUUCCCAUUAUUCACUGGCUAAAAUUGCUCCCUGGAAGUAUUAAUUCCUCCACUCUUCUCCCUUGCCAGAGCACAGGAAAUCCUAAUGGCUAGAAAGAGCACUCAGGCAGAAUUGCAUGUGCAGGCAGUUGGAGGCUGAGUCCAUGCAUAAGAAAAUGUUAAGUGCCCAGGGGAUAUAGGCAGGACCCCAACACUGUCUUCCACAGGAUAAAAAUAAAGGAAAUUCCUCCCAUUUUAAAUUCUGGCCCGGUUUCCCUAUACUCCUGAAGAUGGCUAGCAAAUAAAGAUUCCUAGACAAAGUAAAAUAAAGUGCCUCAAAUAUUCAACAAUGAAACUGCAAACCAAUUACAACCUAUAGAUAAAUUCCAUUUACUAUGCUUUUCAAGACUGAUUUUGUUUACAAAUAUUUUAGCAGCAUAUGAGUAUUACAUACAGAUAAUAGGCAAAUAAUUAAUAAUACAGCUAAUAAAGAACAAAAAAGGAGUAAAAUUAUUUCAGAUAUUUUUGUUUGGCAAACAUGCUAUUUCUGGCUGCUGUCUAGAUUAUAUUUCCAUUUGUGGUGACAACUUUCAUGCAGUGUCUCAGUGCUGGUACUAUAACAAAUCAUUGCAAAUUGCCUUUUAGUUUUAAGGAGCAGAAGAGGAUAAACAAAAAUUCUAGGAGUAGGUGGUUUGAAGACAAAUAUUGCAUGAAUAAAAAAUAUCUAAUAACCAUCAUGUGAAUUCUAUGACUUUUCCCAUCUGUAUAAAUAAGCAAAAUAGAAAUGACUUGAGCACAUGUCUCAAGGCUGGAAAUAGUGCUGGUGCUCCCUGGAGUUCUCUGCAGAGAAUCUCUUGUGUCAGUGCAAGAAUAGAGCUGGCGUCCAAAUGGACCAUGUCCUGCAUUUCCCUAGAGGGCUUCCUGGAAGUCACAUGGAGAAAAGAUAAAAUGUCUGACCGCUGUGUCAUGCAAAGCCCUUCCCCAAGCACAUGACCAAAGAGUUGAUAGCCAAGCCAAAAAAAAUGCAUCAGAGCAUGUUAAUUCACUGGGGAGCAACAAAAGUCUGCAUUUGUUCAGGCAGUGUUAAAAAAGCUUGUGCAUUUGUGCCCUCACAACAUGACAGCCAUUUCCCCCCCAUUUCUAAGUCACAGCCUCCAUAAAAGCUGCUGGGGCUGUCUCGUAGAAGAGUGGAGAAAAAAUUGCCCUUCCCUCUUCUUUUACCUACAAUAUGAGUGGAUUCCCUUCAUGGAGGAGACAGCUUUCUGGAACUUCUUUCUAUUUACUUCUCUAAAAGUUCUCUUUACAACCAAGGAUGCCUUGGGUCAAUUCUAACUUCCCCUUAAAAUCAUAUACAGCUCCUCCUUGUCCCUAUCUUUCUCCCCCACAACCUGAGACAAAUGGUCAAGCAAUUCUAUUUUUCUUAUUUAUACAGAUGGGCAGAGUCAUCGAAUAUUGUGGCCUCCUUAUUGUGAGAAACACUGAUGACUGCCUACCCCACACAGUCAUCCCCCAACACCCCUACCAUCAUAUGCUCUGGAAAGGAGGAUCCUCCCCUAGUUCCUGUGGUGAAUCAUAAUUGGUCUGGAAAAGAUGUUCCUCACUGAUAAAAAGAGAAGCAUGAGAGGAAACUCUUCUUUAAUCCACCUCUGCAUGUGAUCAUCUGCAUUUGACUCCUUGAACUAUGGCAGCCAGCUGGAGCCAUGAAGUAAGCCACCCUAACAUGAGUGGCAGAAACAUGGAGAGAAUUUUAAAGCUGGACAAGACCCUCAGAAAGCAGAUAAUCAAAGUACCUCAAUCAAUUGAAGUCCUGGGACAUUAAGCAAUUUAUCCAAGGUCACAAAGCAAGUUACAAUGGAGCCACCAUUUACCUCUUGAAGGAGGAAACAGACCAUCAAUUCUGAAGAAUAGACUUUUGUCUCCAGAUUUAAUGGUUUUCCCUUUCUGCUGUUAGUAUAGAGAUCUUCAGUGUCUAAUGAGUAAGACAGUCUAAAAUUUUUCAUUUUUCAAAGAACAAAAACUCCUGACAUCUGCUUUCUUCCCUUCCCUAGCAUUAAAGAAAAAAAGAAAAAAACAAAAA